Molecule: long non-coding RNA, 213 nt
Filed under: Capsicum annuum
Lineage: Eukaryota; Viridiplantae; Streptophyta; Magnoliopsida; Solanales; Solanaceae
Description: long non-coding RNA (CANN_LNC003059)
Source: RNAcentral
CUCUAUUUUCUUCUUUUUUUCUUCAUUUGCUGUGUAUGGUUUUGUUAUGCAUGAUUUUUUCUUUUAUUUUUGUUUUGUCCAUCAAGCUGUUGUCUUCUUUUUCUUUGGUAAACUUCUCUCAAGUGUCAUUAUAUGUUUGAUAUUGUUUUUGUCCAUGUUUUUUUUUUCUUGUUGGGGGGUUGGGAAUCCUUUUAAGUAGAGGAAUUUUGGGGG